RNAcentral lists this ribosomal RNA (334 nucleotides) under Oxyrhopus trigeminus (Brazilian false coral snake). RNAcentral's name for it is "partial small subunit ribosomal RNA". The record is from RNAcentral. Lineage: Eukaryota; Metazoa; Chordata; Lepidosauria; Squamata; Dipsadidae.
AAAGACUUGACGGUACUUCACAACACCCUAGAGGAGCCUGUCUAAUAACCGAUAUUCCACGAUUAACCCCACCUGCCCUAGCCUUACAGUCUAUAUACCGCCGUCGCCAGCUUACCUUGUGAAAGAAAUGAAGUAAACAAAACAAACCACCUUUAGCACGACAGGUCAAGGUGUAACUAAUGAGCAGGCAAAAGAUGGGCUACAUUUUCUAAUGCAGAAAACACGAAUCAAACCAUGAAAUCACAGCUGAAGGCGGAUUUAGCAGUAAGAUAAAAAUAGAAUGUUUAACUGAAACCAAUGCAAUGAAGCACGCACACACCGCCCGUCAUCCCUG